RNAcentral lists this ribosomal RNA (497 nucleotides) under uncultured bacterium. Its description in RNAcentral is "partial 16S ribosomal RNA". It matches the Rfam family "Bacterial small subunit ribosomal RNA", at positions 28 to 507 of the family's 1533-position model. The record is from RNAcentral.
GAUGAACGCUGGCGGCGUGCCUAAUAAAUGCAAGUCGAGCGAACGGACGAGAAGCUUGCUUCUCUGAUGUUAGCGGCGGACGGGUGAGUAACACGUGGAUAACCUACCUUUAAGACUGGGAUAACUUCGGGAAACCGGAUCUAAUACCGGAUAAUAUUUUGAACCGCAUGGUUCAAAAGUGAAAGACGGUCUUGCUGUCACUUAUAGAUGGAUCCGCGCUGCAUUAGCUAGUUGGUAAGGUAACGGCUUACCAAGGCAACGAUGCAUAGCCGACCUGAGAGGGUGGUCGGCCACACUGGAACUGAGACAGGGUACAGACUCCUACGGGAGGCAGCAGUAGGGAAUCUUACGCAAUGGGCGAAAGCCUGACGGAGCAACGCCGCGUGAGUGAUGAAGGUCUUCGGAUCGGAAAACGAUGUUAUUAGGGAAGAACAUAUGUGUAAGUAACUGUGAAGAUAUUGACGGUACCGAGUCAGAAAGCCACGGCUAACUACGUG